Spea bombifrons (plains spadefoot toad) is the source of this 447-nucleotide long non-coding RNA. RefSeq lists it as uncharacterized. The transcript has 3 exons. NCBI's taxonomy places the organism in Eukaryota, Metazoa, Chordata, Amphibia, Anura, Pelobatidae. The record is from RefSeq and is a predicted model, not a curated record.
ACUGAUUUUGGGGGGUGGACUUGCAUGAGGCUGGAAGAUUAUGCUCAGGACUGCCUUUCAGGAAAGGGACAAUUGGUGGCUGCUGAAGUCCAUGUGUUCCACAGGGACCCACAACUGUUUUUCUCCAUGUGAAAAAAGACUACCUUUCCAAUGAUAGAGAGAGUUACUUUGAUGAACUGUGUUGUUCUCUAAGCAUAAAAAAGUACAGAAAAAAGCACCAGUCCAGUUUUUGGGAAGCUCCUAGUUAAAAAGCAUACUUCCCCUAUAUUAUUGUAUUUUGGUUUUUUGAAGAAAGGCAUUUAAAUUCUGCCACAUCCUGUCACAAGCAACAGGGAAAAUACUCACUUGACAGAACUAUCCCACGAUUCUCAGGUUAAUGAUCAAGAAUUUUUCCUACAAGCAAAGAGAGGAGACAGGUAAGGCGGAAAGCAGGGGAAAUAAGUGUUU